This 468-nucleotide ribosomal RNA is filed under the name uncultured bacterium. RNAcentral describes it as "partial 16S ribosomal RNA". It matches the Rfam family "Bacterial small subunit ribosomal RNA", at positions 28 to 507 of the family's 1533-position model. The record is from RNAcentral.
GACGAACGCUGGCGGCGUGCUUAACACAUGCAAGUCGAACGGAAGGGCCCUGCUUUUGUGGGGUGCUAGAGUGGCGAACGGGUGUGUAACACGUGAGUAACCUGCCCUUGACUUUGGGAUAACUUCAGGAAACUGGGGCUAAUACCGGAUAGGAGCCCCUGCUGCAUGGUGGGGGUUGGAAAGUUUCGGCGGUUGGGGAUGGACUCGCGGCUUAUCAGCUUGUUGGUGGGGUAGUGGCUUACCAAGGCUUUGACGGGUAGCCGACCUGAGGGGGUGACCGGCCACAUUGGGACUGAGAUACGGCCCGGACUCCUACGGGAGGCAGCAGUGGGGAAUAUUGCACAAUGGGCGGAGGCCUGUUGCAGCAACGCCGCGUGCGGGAUGCGGGCCUUCGGGUUGUAAACCGCUUUCGCCUGGGACGAAGCGUGAGUGACGGUAAUGGGUAAAGAAGCACCGGCUAACUACGUG